AGCAGUGGGAGCCCCACCACUAAGCCAGUGGUGAACUCCACAUACGCAUCCUUUGCUGAAGGUGCGGUUAACGGAGCGCAAGCGACGUUCAACCUCAAAAGAAGCAGAGGGGGCUUAGUGGUGGGGUGACUGCGUACCUUUUGUAUAAUGGGUCAGCGACUUAUAUUCUGUAGCAAGGUUAACCGUAUAGGGGAGCCGGAGGGAAA
This 206-nucleotide ribosomal RNA is filed under the name Salmonella enterica subsp. enterica serovar Kentucky. RNAcentral describes it as "partial 23S ribosomal RNA". The record is from RNAcentral. Lineage: Bacteria; Pseudomonadati; Pseudomonadota; Gammaproteobacteria; Enterobacterales; Enterobacteriaceae.